ACAUUGUUUCACACACACACAUACACACACCCAUGAACCCCACGGGCUCGUGUUGGCCUACAGGGCCCUUCCGAUGCAAACACCUGCCUGGUCCGCUUUGCCAUUUCCAACUGCAACGGACAACUUCUUUUCUCUUGCCACAACCCAUGCCCCUAACCUUGAACGACACACCCUUUUAAUACAUAUUGAUCUAUCUGAAUUAGGUUUAUUCUCCAUAGCAAACGCUACGGAGUAUACUUUGGGAGUAAAACUUGACGGUUCGGUUACAGACUCGCAAAUGCAUCCUCUGCUGUUCUGCAUUUGUUCAUCCUGCCGUGUAACACAGACGGUUCCGUGCCCAUUACUCAAGGCCGGCCUCACAGUUAUUUCUGUAGCUUCCCCCAAGCGCUGUUUCAUAGAAGGCAGGUAGUUAGUAACUACUUGUAAUAAAUUAAUAGUGAUUCAACUUUAAAGUAUCUUUCCUAGAUCAAUAUGGUUUCCUGGAAUUACUCUGAAUUUUAUAUAUAUACAAAUAAUAUAAUCAUAAUAUAAAAUAUACAAUUUAUUAUAAUUAUAUAAAAUAAAUAGAAAAUUUGUGUAUUAAGUUUACAUAUAAAAAUAUUCAAAUGUGUAUCUGU
Molecule: long non-coding RNA, 617 nt
Filed under: Rattus norvegicus (Norway rat)
Lineage: Eukaryota; Metazoa; Chordata; Mammalia; Rodentia; Muridae
Description: long non-coding RNA NONRATT009206
Source: RNAcentral